UUGGAAUGGCUUGUGCGAGAGAUCUGAAGGGGCUAAAUUGCCGCCCUUGGGCGCCUCCCUCCCUUGCUGGGGAGUCGGAGCUAUGGCUGGACUAGGGCUUGUCUGGCGAGUCAUUGCCCCCCUCCCCCUACAGCGUGACCAUGUCCCUCUCAGAGCCCCCCCGUGACCCCACACCCUUCCUGCGGGGUGACCCUGCACCUUUCAUUGCUCCCCCCCAGGGUAACCCUGCACCCCUCAGAGCUCCCCCCCAGGGUGACCCUGCACCCCUCAGAGCCCCCCACAGGGUGACCCUGGACAUCCCCCACAGGGUGACCUUGCACCCCUGAGUGCCUGCCCACAGUGUGACCCCCCUGCACCUUUCAUUGCUCCCCCACAGGGUGACCCUGCGCCCCUCAGAGCCACCCACAGCGUGACCCUGGACAUCCCCCACAGGGUGACCUUGCACCCCUGAGUGCCUGCCCACAGUGUGACCCUCCUGCCCUUCCUGCAGGGGGACCCUGCAGCUUUCAUUGCUCCCCCACAGGGUGAUCCUUGAACCCUCUGCAUCCCUCAGUGUCCCUUUCACAGGGUGACCCUGCACCCAUAGUUCCCUCCCCCCCAGGGUGAUUGUGAACCCCCAGUUGCCUCCCUCACAAGGUGACUACUGUAUCCCCACAACUCCUAUGGAACAGCCCACCCAGGGAUUUGUUUGGGGGCUUGAGGAACCCAGCCCAGGGCCUUUCUCCGAGCAUUUUUCUCCUACUGUCUCUGACUGCUCCCUCUGUCCUGUGAGUUCAUAGCUGUCUCUUUGCCAUCCUCCCUUCCCUGAUUACCUCUGUUUCUCACCUAUCCUCUCAUGCUACCUGCCAAAUCAUUCACCCCUCCGUCUGCCUGGCCCACUCAAUCAUUCCGUCCACCCCUUUGCCACCCUGUACCCCUCAGUCACUGAGUUCCCCUGGUGCUUUGCUGUUGAUGGUUGCUUGUGUCAUCUCAUGCUACGGUCAUCAUCUCACCACCCGGCUUAGCACUGAGAUGAUCUUUUCAGGAUACCUAAGAUGACCCUUCAUAUCUUCCUUUCUACCUUCUCUGAUCUUAUGAUGGACUUACCUUUCUUCCCAUCUCCUCUGCUCUGAGUUUUUACCAUUAGGAGAUCAUUGACAACCUGUUGCUUUUGGGAAGGCACAGACUUUAAUCCAGAAAGGACUAAAACGUAAAUGUUUGAACAUGAGCAACUUUGAAAGGGAGUUCUCCAGGUGAAGGAGGAGUGAUUACAUGACCUUGG
Molecule: long non-coding RNA, 1261 nt
Organism: Chrysemys picta bellii (western painted turtle)
Lineage: Eukaryota; Metazoa; Chordata; Testudines; Emydidae
Source: RefSeq, a predicted model, not a curated record